This 211-nucleotide ribosomal RNA is filed under the name uncultured bacterium. Its description in RNAcentral is "partial 16S ribosomal RNA". It matches the Rfam family "Bacterial small subunit ribosomal RNA", at positions 125 to 334 of the family's 1533-position model. The record is from RNAcentral.
CCUGCCUGAGAGCGCGGAAUAACCCUGCGAAAGCAGAGCUAAUACCGCAUGUGGUUGUUGGAUGGCAUCUUCUAACAACUAAAGUCGCAAGACGCUCUCAGAUGGGCCCGCGGCCUAUUAGCUAGUUGGUGAGGUAACGGCCCACCAAGGCAUUGAUGGGUAGCUGGUCUGAGAGGACGGACAGCCACACUGGGACUGAGACACGGCCCAG